UAUCACAAGCCCGAUACGACCAU
RNAcentral lists this microRNA (23 nucleotides) under Brugia malayi. RNAcentral's name for it is "bma-miR-2f". Its record names the gene bma-miR-2f. The record is from miRBase by way of RNAcentral. Lineage: Eukaryota; Metazoa; Nematoda; Chromadorea; Rhabditida; Onchocercidae.